Molecule: long non-coding RNA, 679 nt
Organism: Chenopodium quinoa (quinoa)
Lineage: Eukaryota; Viridiplantae; Streptophyta; Magnoliopsida; Caryophyllales; Amaranthaceae
Exons: 4
Source: RefSeq, a predicted model, not a curated record
CGUGUAAAAUUAGAGCGCUUAUUAAAAAGCACUGCAAUAUAGCGUUGUUACAGCCAAAAAAACCGUGCCACUUAGUUUUUUUUAUUUUGUGAAAUAUUUCAAAACUCCCACGACUCCCACUAUACUUCUGCAAAUCCCUAACCUAUCACUACUGAAAAUAUGAAAUUGCCCCAAUUGUGCGCUCAUCAAUCUCCCUAAUCUCUCUGAAUAUCAUCCUCAAAUUUUUACUUGACGAACCAUAAACAUUUAAUUCGUUUUCUUUUUGCUGAAUUUUCCCUUUUAAUUUGCCCAAUUCGUCAAUUUUGUUUGAGAAUUUUAAUCGACCCAUACAAAUUCAAAAUUCUCAUUCUAAGAUUUAAUUUCAAUAUUCUCAAAAAAAUUCUUGUCGAAAAGAAAGAGAUCCAGAAAAGAGGCUACUUUCAGGAUGUUGAAGCUUCUCCCAGAGCUAACAAUGACACUAAUCGUAGAGAUUAGUUAUUGCGUUACCAAGGGUAUGCUUUGGCAACUUCAAAGUUGGAACAUGAAAGCAAUUUUAAAGCAUCAAUAUUUAGUCUUAUAAAAUAUAUCUUAUAUUGGCAUAGAUUUGGUUUUGGCAUUAAGUACAUUCUAGCUACUGAACGUUUUUUUAUUUUUUUUAUUAUAUAUAUAUAUAUAUAUAUAGGACUUUAGAUGGUUAUUU